This 492-nucleotide ribosomal RNA is filed under the name uncultured bacterium. RNAcentral's name for it is "bacterial SSU rRNA". It matches the Rfam family "Bacterial small subunit ribosomal RNA", at positions 43 to 524 of the family's 1533-position model. The record is from RNAcentral.
CAGGCCUAACACAUGCAAGUCGAACGGCAUCGCGGGAAAGCUUGCUUUCCUGGCGGCGAGUGGCGAACGGGUGAGUAACACAUCGGAACGUACCGGCUAGUGGGGGAUAACCCGUCGAAAGACGGGCUAAUACCGCAUACGCUCUUCGGAGGAAAGCAGGGGACCUUUGGGCCUUGCGCUAGCCGAGCGGCCGAUGUCCGAUUAGCUAGUUGGUGGGGUAAAGGCCUACCAAGGCGACGAUCGGUAGCGGGUCUGAGAGGACGAUCCGCCACACUGGGACUGAGACACGGCCCAGACUCCUACGGGAGGCAGCAGUGGGGAAUCUUGGACAAUGGGGGCAACCCUGAUCCAGCAAUGCCGCGUGGGUGAAGAAGGCCUUCGGGUUGUAAAGCCCUUUCGGCAGGGAAGAAAUCGGCGGGGCGAAUAACCCUGCUGGAUGACGGUACCUGCAGAAGAAGCACCGGCUAACUACGUGCCAGCAGCCGCGGUAAU